UUAACAGGAUUAGAUACCCUGGUAGUCCACGCCCUAAACGAUGCGAACUGGAUGUUGGGUGCAAUUUGGCACGCAGUAUCGAAGCUAACGCGUUAAGUUCGCCGCCUGGGGAGUACGGUCGCAAGACUGAAACUCAAAGGAAUUGACGGGGGCCCGCACAAGCGGUGGAGUAUGUGGUUUAAUUCGAUGCAACGCGAAGAACCUUACCUGGCCUUGACAUGUCGAGAACUUUCCAGAGAUGGAUGGGUGCCUUCGGGAACUCGAACACAGGUGCUGCAUGGCUGUCGUCAGCUCGUGUCGUGAGAUGUUGGGUUAAGUCCCGCAACGAGCGCAACCCUUGUCCUUAGUUGCCAGCACGUAAUGGUGGGAACUCUAAGGAGACCGCCGGUGACAAACCGGAGGAAGGUGGGGAUGACG
RNAcentral lists this ribosomal RNA (417 nucleotides) under uncultured bacterium. Its description in RNAcentral is "bacterial SSU rRNA". It matches the Rfam family "Bacterial small subunit ribosomal RNA", at positions 769 to 1184 of the family's 1533-position model. The record is from RNAcentral.